GGCUUGCUGUGGACUGAUAUAAUGUACAUGUGUAUCAAUAGCACCUGCAGUUGCGAUAAGUCCUUCCCCUGAUAUAACUUCUGUAAUAGUGCCUACAAUCAGUCCGGGAGUUACGCCUGGUUGAAUAUGUGGAUUCCCGGCUUUUCCAACUCCUUUAAUCUUACCAUUUUUUACACCGAUAUCUGCCUUAUAAAUUCCUUUAUAAUCGAUAAUUAAUGCAUUUGUAAUAACCAAAUCGAGUACCUCUUCAUCUUUAAAACCAGAAGCCUGACCCAUACCGUCAC
RNAcentral lists this small RNA (284 nucleotides) under uncultured Bacteroides sp. Its description in RNAcentral is "5' ureB small RNA". It matches the Rfam family "5' ureB small RNA". The record is from RNAcentral. Lineage: Bacteria; Pseudomonadati; Bacteroidota; Bacteroidia; Bacteroidales; Bacteroidaceae.